AUGGAGCAGAAAGGAAAAGGAGAAAGGAGAAUAAUAAAUUCCAAACUUUGGGCUUACCUCUUCCUCCUGGCUGGCUCGCCA
This 81-nucleotide microRNA precursor is filed under the name Homo sapiens (human). RNAcentral's name for it is "miTC9_pre". The record is from RNAcentral. Lineage: Eukaryota; Metazoa; Chordata; Mammalia; Primates; Hominidae.